UUACUACUUCCUUCGUUCCAAAAUUAUUGUCUUAGAUUUGUUUAGAUAUAAAUGUAUCUAGUUAAAUUUUAGUAUUUAGAUACAUUCAUUUUAAAAUAAAGUUAAGACAAGAAUUUUGGGACGGAGGGAGUAUUUU
Hordeum vulgare subsp. vulgare (domesticated barley) is the source of this 136-nucleotide non-coding RNA. Lineage: Eukaryota; Viridiplantae; Streptophyta; Magnoliopsida; Poales; Poaceae. The record is from Rfam.